Molecule: ribosomal RNA, 448 nt
Filed under: uncultured bacterium
Lineage: Bacteria
Description: SSU rRNA
Rfam family: Bacterial small subunit ribosomal RNA
Source: RNAcentral
AGAGCGAACGCUGGCGGCAGGCUUAACACAUGCAAGUCGAGCGGGCGUAGCAAUACGUCAGCGGCAGACGGGUGAGUAACGCGUGGGAACGUACCUUUUGGUUCGGAACAACACAGGGAAACUUGUGCUAAUACCGGAUAAGCCCUUACGGGGAAAGAUUUAUCGCCGAAAGAUCGGCCCGCGUCUGAUUAGCUAGUUGGUGAGGUAACGGCUCACCAAGGCGACGAUCAGUAGCUGGUCUGAGAGGAUGAUCAGCCACAUUGGGACUGAGACACGGCCCAAACUCCUACGGGAGGCAGCAGCGGGGAAUAUUGGACAAUGGGCGCAAGCCUGAUCCAGCCAUGCCGCGUGAGUGAUGAAGGCCCUAGGGUUGUAAAGCUCUUUUGUGCGGGAAGAUAAUGACGGUACCGCAAGAAUAAGCCCCGGCUAACUUCGUGCCAGCAGCCGC